This 465-nucleotide ribosomal RNA is filed under the name Vreelandella stevensii. RNAcentral describes it as "partial 16S ribosomal RNA". It matches the Rfam family "Bacterial small subunit ribosomal RNA", at positions 338 to 795 of the family's 1533-position model. Lineage: Bacteria; Pseudomonadati; Pseudomonadota; Gammaproteobacteria; Oceanospirillales; Halomonadaceae. The record is from RNAcentral.
CCUACGGGAGGCUGCAGUGGGGAAUAUUGGACAAUGGGGGCAACCCUGAUCCAGCCAUGCCGCGUGUGUGAAGAAGGCCCUCGGGUUGUAAAGCACUUUCAGUGAGGAAGAACGCCUGGUGGUUAAUACCCAUCAGGAAAGACAUCACUCACAGAAGAAGCACCGGCUAACUCCGUGCCAGCAGCCGCGGUAAUACGGAGGGUGCGAGCGUUAAUCGGAAUUACUGGGCGUAAAGCGCGCGUAGGUGGCUUGAUAAGCCGGUUGUGAAAGCCCCGGGCUCAACCUGGGAACGGCAUCCGGAACUGUCAAGCUAGAGUGCAGGAGAGGAAGGUAGAAUUCCCGGUGGAGCGGUGAAAUGCGUAGAGAUCGGGAGGAAUACCAGUGGCGAAGGCGGCCUUCUGGACUGACACUGACACUGAGGUGCGAAAGCGUGGGUAGCAAACAGGAUUAGAUACCCUUGUAGUC